RNAcentral lists this unclassified non-coding RNA (204 nucleotides) under uncultured Cortinarius. Its description in RNAcentral is "sequence contains ITS2". The record is from RNAcentral. Lineage: Eukaryota; Fungi; Basidiomycota; Agaricomycetes; Agaricales; Cortinariaceae.
AUAUAUCAAAUCUCAUAAGCUUCUGCUUGUCGAGUGUUUGGAUGUUGGGGGUAUCAUUUGCUGGCCUGGUUCAGCUCCCCUGAAAUGCAUUAGCGGAACAAUUUGUUGAUCGUUCAUUGGUGUGAUAACUAUCUACGCUAUUGACGUGAAGGCAGGGUUCAGCUUCUAACUAACUGUCCAUUGACUUGGACAAGUCCUUCAUUA